AGCUUUAGUACAAGUGUGCUGUUUAAAUGUUUUGCAGAAUAAGAGACACCAAUGAAUGACUUCAGCAACUGGACUUUCUGCUUGUUGGUUCCUAUUUCAUGGGCCCUGCUGAUGCUGUAUAGGCCUUUGUUGUGUGUGGAAAAGAAAUCAUUUGGAGCUAUCCCGCUAGUAACAGCACAGAAGGGAGGCAGAGCUGCUGCUACAGAGCUGAUGGUCCUGAGGCAGUUCAUUGUGCAUGGAGAGUCAUUUACUGGAUGUUUCUUGGAUCCUUCGGAGUGAAUGGAUGUCCAGGUAGUAGGAUAGGACAAGAAAAUGGCAAAAAAGAGGAGCCCCAAGUGUCAAACUAGCCUUGAGACUUCUCUAAUUCCUUCAUGAGAAACUGGCGGGGAUCUUGCAAAGCAUUUAUUCAUCUCUAACAGCGCUCCUACAUCCAAGGAAGCAAGCAGAGCCUGGAAAGGACUUUUUGUCACACUGACACAAGUCACAAGAAAUCUGGGCAGUGUGCAAACAACAUCAAGAACAGGGCAGGACCUUCUUCCAAGCCCAGCCUGCACUGACACAUGGAGGAGGAGGCACAGACAUCUGGUGACCCAGGCGAUUGCUUAAUGUGGUUCCCCAGAGAAGUGUCAGCAAGUGCAUGGACAGGAACUGGCAAACAGUUCCACCAGACCAUGCUGGCCUAGCACAUCAUGGAAAAAGUGAAGAAUGAUUCAAGCUGGCUCUGUUUUCUGUACCCAUGGGCCUCCUGGCAGAUGCACAGGAAUAACCAUAUCUACCAAAAAGAACAUCAUUUUGCUAUGGAUGCUGCAAAUCACACAUGUGACUCCUCUCUCCUAACCCUGUUAGGGAGAGGCAACAAUUUUCUGUGUGCCAACAAGAAGUUGAUUUCAAAAUCUCCAAUUACACAAAUAUACAAAUAUAUAUUUGCCAGCAGAUUUUUGUUUGGAAAAAUCCAGCACUUUAAUUACAUAGAUACCAUAACUCCCUAUUUUUACAUAAAUGUGAUUACUGCAAUUUCUUCAUUAGGGAAUAGUUUCACUAUUUAAGAAAAUGUUAUUUAAAGGCGUGGUGUUAUCUGUUUAUCCCACAGUGUUAACACCCCUGCAAAACAUAAGCAAACACUUGAAUGCUUUCCUCCUAGCAACCAAGGUCUCUCACAUCAGAAAAGCAGCAUACUUGUCUUUUUCUGUACCUCGUAUUGAGCCAAAUAUCUAGUUUACAACCCUUUGGCCAUUCAAUAACCAACAGAUUCUUAGAAUAUAAUUUUAGGUGAAAGUCUAAACCAGUGGCUAUGGUCCUAAGGCCAGAUUUUCAGGCUUUUGUGUAUUCCCUUACUUCUGCAGAUAAAAAUACUACAAAAUUAAUCUUAGGAACUAAGCUUCUUUACAUUUGAUAACCUGCUGCAGGACUUAACUCUUCAAAUUACCAGCAGCUUUCAUGAAGUGCCAAGUUUCUGCAAUUCCCACUAUGGUGAGUCUAAAACACAGAUAUUGAGUAUUGCCUUGGGAUCUCACUCUGUCUUACCAGGCUGGGAUAAUGGUGCUGUUUUUACUGAAGAAAUGGGGGAUUUCGGAUCUCUUGAAAUCUUUUCAGAAUAUUGGGGACCCAAAAACCCCAAACAAACCAGCAAAUACACUAUCAGAAUCCUCUCCUUGUCUACUUCCUUCUUUCCUUACAUAAGGGUAAGUUCUCCUUUCUUUUCUUUUCUAAGGGAGAAUUAUGGUAUCCUUUCUAACUCUUUAAGAAAAACAGAGAAGCACCUGAGAAAUCUGUCUUCCAAGGAAAAGAUGAAAGAUAUAGCUAAGUGAGAGGAUGUGUCCUUCUCAACACUGACAGUGUGGUCAAAGAGACAGCUCCCCCUGACUUCUCCCUGAAGAGUUCACAGACAACUGUCCAGAAGAGCGCCCGGGCUCGCCGGCAGCUCUGCUAACAGCAGGAAUCACUGCAGCACUCUGGACUGCUGCUGCCGUGUCAUUCCAGUGCUCUGGGGUCACCUGAGUGCAUUAAAUUAACACUGUUCCCAGGCAAAGCAAAGUGUCUGGGAACAGGAUUGUACAGCAUAACAAUGUGGAUAGGAGGGGCAGAUACACACCUAAAUAUGAAAUGAUUGGAAGGAGUGGGGAGCCGAUUCUGACCGACAUGACUUAGUGCCAAAUGCACGUUCUCACACAGAUCUCCCAGCAGAUUAUGUGUCUCUUCAUCACCACUUAACAUUUUUAUAGCUUAUUUCAGUAUUUCUGCAUUUGUUUCACCUGCAAUAAUUUAUUUAUGAGUUUAAGAUUAUUAAAAAUUUGAAGCUUCAUUACAAACUAUCCUGGGGGAAGCUCACCUGCCUCAUCCUACUACAUUAUUAUUACCAAGUGUCUAAUUUAUAUUUAAUCAGACAUCAAUUGAACAUCAAUAAAAUAAUAAUGAAUUAAUAAGCUGUAUCUUCCCAGGAAUACUAGUAGCUUAAGUAUGUAAGCAAAGGCAGUGCACUGUCUGUGGGUCAGCUAUCAAAUCUCUCAGACUAUUUGACAUAACAAUUUAGUAUUUAGAAUAUAAUAAUAAGCCAUAAAAAGAGUUAAUUGCUGUGGUCUUCAGCUAAUUCUUGCCAUAAUUAUGACCCAUACCAACCUGUGAACCUGAACUAAGAAGUAACCUAGAGCUCCAUGUAAGACAGUUAUUUCCAAACACUGUAAAUGCCUAAGGGACUCCAUGUUUCCACAAAAUGAAAUGACAAAAGAAUUUCAGCUGGGGUAAAUGCAUAAUUUUUCACUUUAACAUGAUCUCUUAAACUGAAAUUGUUUAUUUUUCUAUACAGAAAAAUAAAAAAAAAUGUUGUUUUUUUUUAAAAUUAAUGUGACAUCUACCUAUGAACAUUAAAACAGCAUAGUUCAACACUGCUGGUCAGGUGUUCUGUUUUAACAAAAUAUCAACCCA
This is a long non-coding RNA of Parus major (Great Tit), 2922 nucleotides long. RefSeq lists it as uncharacterized. NCBI's taxonomy places the organism in Eukaryota, Metazoa, Chordata, Aves, Passeriformes, Paridae. The record is from RefSeq and is a predicted model, not a curated record. The transcript is spliced from 3 exons.